GUUUGCAGUAUCUUUGCUGGGAUGCACACAACUUAAGUUGUAAUUGUGAUAAAUGUUUGCAUCUCCCAUAGACCAAGACUCUUUGUGAGAGUGAAAAACACUACAGCAAUCAUGGGCGGUGCUUUGGUAUCACAUUAUCUCUGAAUAAAAUCACUGAUGUUGGAAUAGACAGGGACCUGGUGAACUGCAAAACCCAAGGCUCUCAUGGCUUUGGACCAAGACUGCAUUGGAACUUUGCCACAAUCCAGGGAGUGGGGAGCUGUGGAAUGUCUAGAGCAAGAACUCCCUCAUAUGUGCAUGUGUCACUCCCCUGGAGAAGCUGUUGAUGACCCCAGAUUCCAGGUCAUCUCCUACUACAGGAACAGCAGAAACACUGGGGGUUACAACUGCAAUGGUGUCAAGGCUUUCAGUCAGAGCCCUUACAUUGUGAUCUAGGACAGUGAUUGGAACUUUGCUGAGUUCUUGAGUUCCCGGAUGUUGGACAAUGCCUCCCCAGUGAGCAGAU
This 505-nucleotide long non-coding RNA is filed under the name Felis catus (domestic cat). RNAcentral describes it as "lncRNA (ENSFCAG00000051021.1)". Lineage: Eukaryota; Metazoa; Chordata; Mammalia; Carnivora; Felidae. The record is from RNAcentral.